UUUAGAGUUUGAUCCUGUCUCAGGACGAACGCUGGCGGCGUGCCUAAUACAUGCAAGUCGAACGCUUCUUUCCUCCCGAGUGCUUGCACUCAAUUGGAAAGAGGAGUGGCGGACGGGUGAGUAACACGUGGGUAACCUACCCAUCAGAGGGGGAUAACACUUGGAAACAGGUGCUAAUACCGCAUAACAGUUUAUGCCGCAUGGCAUAAGAGUGAAAGGCGCUUUCGGGUGUCGCUGAUGGAUGGACCCGCGGUGCAUUAGCUAGUUGGUGAGGUAACGGCUCACCAAGGCCACGAUGCAUAGCCGACCUGAGAGGGUGAUCGGCCACACUGGGACUGAGACACGGCCCAGACUCCUACGGGAGGCAGCAGUAGGGAAUCUUCGGCAAUGGACGAAAGUCUGACCGAGCAACGCCGCGUGAGUGAAGAAGGUUUUCGGAUCGUAAAACUCUGUUGUUAGAGAAGAACCAAGGACGUUAGUAACUGAACUCCCCCC
RNAcentral lists this ribosomal RNA (495 nucleotides) under Enterococcus faecalis. RNAcentral describes it as "bacterial SSU rRNA". It matches the Rfam family "Bacterial small subunit ribosomal RNA", at positions 1 to 478 of the family's 1533-position model. The record is from RNAcentral. Lineage: Bacteria; Bacillati; Bacillota; Bacilli; Lactobacillales; Enterococcaceae.